RNAcentral lists this non-coding RNA (548 nucleotides) under Pongo abelii (Sumatran orangutan). The record is from RNAcentral. Lineage: Eukaryota; Metazoa; Chordata; Mammalia; Primates; Hominidae.
AGGAGCGCGAGGCCGGCCUGAGGGAGGAGGCCUAGCGACCCUUCCGGCGCCUCUCGCCCCGCGCAGCCACCCACGGCCGCGCAUCCUGCGGGUCCCAGGAGGCCUCCAUCUCAAAACAACGUGUUUUUAGGAUCCCAUCCACUAUCACAGUUUCGGCUUCCCCCAAGCUGGAAUAUGUCUUUGGAGACUCCCAUCCUUAUUAAAGGGCAAAGACUUCUCAUACACGUAGGAUGGGUCAUAUGUUCUUGGCGGGACUGCAGAGAAGGUGCCGUGUCCUGGGUCCUCACGUCGGGGCACAGGCUUCCAGCCGAUUCUACCUGGGUUAUGUUUAUCUCAAUUCUCCGGUGGUAUUGGUGUCUGCUGGGUUUUGCCAGAAUGAAGACACCGUGUUUUCAUUUGUAAAUUGAUUCGUAUUUUCCAGGGAGACAUUCUGAGAUUACAGUAUUGUCUUAGUCAAGGUGCUGCAGAGGGACAGAACUAAUAGGAUAUAUGGACAUGUGAAAGAAAGUUUAUGAAGGAGAACUGGCUCACACCAUCACGAGGCAAAG